UGGGGAAUUUUGGACAAUGGGGGCAACCCUGAUCCAGCAAUGCCGCGUGUGUGAAGAAGGCCUUCGGGUUGUAAAGCACUUUUGUCCGGGAAGAAAUCGCACCUGAUAAUACCGGGUGUGGAUGACGGUACCGGAAGAAUAAGCACCGGCUAACUACGUGCCAGCAGCCGCGGUAAUACGUAGGGUCCAAGCGUUAAUCGGAAUUACUGGGCGUAAAGCGUGCGCAGGCGGUUGUGCAAGACCGAUGUGAAAUCCCCGGGCUUAACCUGGGAAUUGCAUUGGUGACUGCACAGCUAGAGUGUGUCAGAGGGGGGUAGAAUUCCACGUGUAGCAGUGAAAUGCGUAGAGAUGUGGAGGAAUACCGAUGGCGAAGGCAGCCCCCUGGGAUAACACUGACGCUCAUGCACGAAAGCGUGGGGAGCAAACAGG
Molecule: ribosomal RNA, 429 nt
Filed under: Bacillota bacterium
Lineage: Bacteria; Bacillati; Bacillota
Description: Firmicutes bacterium partial 16S ribosomal RNA
Rfam family: Bacterial small subunit ribosomal RNA
Source: RNAcentral